RNAcentral lists this ribosomal RNA (777 nucleotides) under uncultured Neocallimastigales. Its description in RNAcentral is "partial large subunit ribosomal RNA". It matches the Rfam family "Eukaryotic large subunit ribosomal RNA", at positions 23 to 634 of the family's 3401-position model. The record is from RNAcentral. Lineage: Eukaryota; Fungi; Neocallimastigomycota; Neocallimastigomycetes; Neocallimastigales.
AGAGAGAGACAUGCGCGCAUAUCAAUAAGCGGAGGAAAAGAAACUAACAAGGAUUCCCUUAGUAACGGCGAGUGAAGCGGGAAGAGCUCAAAUUUGAAAUCUUCAAGGUUUUACCUUGACGAAUUGUAGUUUAAAGAAGUGUUUUCUGCUGAAGUCUUGGUAAAAGUUCUUUGGAAUAGGACAUCAUAGAGGGUGAGAAUCCCGUAUUUGACCAUUAUUUUCAGCUUUGUGAUACACUUUCAAAGAGUCGGAUUGUUUGGGAAUGCAGUCCAAAAUGGGUGGUAAAUUUCAUCUAAAGCUAAAUAUUGGCGAGAGACCGAUAGCGAACAAGUACCGUGAGGGAAAGAUGAAAAGAACUUUGAAAAGAGAGUUAAACAGUACGUGAAAUUGUCAAAAGGGAAGCGUUUGACACCAGUGUUGUUUUCUCGAAAAUCAAUUAAAAAUGGCCUCGACUUUUGUAUUGCUUGAGACCUUAAAAGCUCACUGUACAUUUUUCGUGUCUUUUUUAAUGCACUUUUCGUUUAACAAGUCAACAUCAGCUUCUUUUGUCGUAAAAGGGUCAUUGGAAGGUGGCUUUCUUUUCGGAGAAAGUGUUUAUAGCCUUUGGCCUCUGCAAUCGGAGAGACUGAGGUCUGCAGCGUAGACUCUUCGGGGUUAGAUACAUUUGUGCUAAGUUAUAGCUUUUUAUAGACAACUUGUUGACUAUAAUUAGUCUUGUAGCUUACUCGCUUAUGCUAUUUUACCUACGCUUAGGAUGUUGAGUCGUAGAGCACGCAG